UCGUUUAAAUGCCAUUGUUACCAUGAAAAAAAUCAUUAUAACUUUAGGAAUGUAUAACAACUAAUUAUGAAACAUAUUUUGUGCUAGAAAUUUUACAGUUUUUAAACUAUGACUUUAAUGGUCUUAUAUGUCAUAAGAGAAUAACAGUAGCAUUGAUAAAAGCUGUUUGGAGUUUUCCCAUGCAGUAUUCAAGGAGGAAACUUGUACCUGGGACUGGAACUUAAGGUAACAGUUAUCUUCCUGGGUAGGAAGGCAAAAGAAAAAUUUCAUUCUAGAUAAUACUGUAAAUGUCCAUGUGGGUAAUCUUGACAAUCCUGACUCCUUUCUUACUCCAAACUUGGAUCUUUGGCAAAGUAUAGGCAUCAAAGGGUAUGCUGUCUUUGGGAAAGGGAAACUUCUUCAAAUUUCUCUAUUGUUUUUAGCUUUUCUGCUAUGAAGGUGGACUUUGAAGUAGUCCCUCCUUUUCUGAUACACACAAAUGAAGGUGAUACUAAGUCUGCUUUAAAUUACAGAUGGACAUGGCCAAAUUAAAGUAGAAGCCAAGUGGGUGAGCUGUGCAAGGUCUUGUAUUUGUGGACCUGUACUCACUAGUGCAGCUUUACCACUUCAGGGCCUCCCAUGCUAUAUUGCAUCUACAAUGCUCUCUGCUGGUGUUUUGAAAGAAAGUUUUCUUCAAGAUAAUGGGAAAUAAUGGAAGGAACUAUCACAAAAAUUAACUGUAGAGCCUGGUGAUGAGUCACUGUUGUAGAACACUUUACCUGCUGGUUUUCCUUGAAUGCCACAGCAGCAACCAAAGUAUCACCAAGAAGCUGUAGAAGUAAUAUGACUACAGAUGUGGUUACUGAGAAAUAUGUCUAAUCGUGAUGUCCAGCCCUGAGAGAUAUUUCUGUUCUAAGGACUGAUUAUUAGAUUUGUAAUCUUCACUUAAUAUACAGUGUAUGUUUGUCGCUAUCUGUUUACACCAGUCACUUCAGUGAGCUCCAAGAUAUCUCCACGCACCUCCCAUGCCUGUAAGGCCUCCUUAUUCCUUGGGACCUCAAGUCUCUCAAGGAUUUGGGUAUGUUGUUUAGACUUGUCAUUUUCACUUAGAAUAUAAUGACUGCUUAUCUGCAUCUGUUUCCAUCAGUCACUACAGUAAGCCUGUAUCAUGAUUAUAAGAAACUAGCCAUCACACACAUGGAACUCUUGUGCCAGUGACAAGAACACCAACUCUGUCACAAUGUGUCAAGCCUCAACUGCUCUACAAGACCUCUUCAACUCUUCACUUCACUAUCUGAGUCCCAUUUAUACAUCAACUUUGGCUGCUAGCAUGAAGUAUAACCUUGAUCUCCACUGGAAAACAGCUUCUGUGUGGGUCUCUCUGUGGUGCUAAUGAUGAUCUCAAAUUCAGGCACUGAGGACUUUUUGCUCUCCAAAGUUCUGAGAAGCUUUUCCUGAAUACAGAGUCACCACAACUAGUUGAAUGCCACAUCAAUAAUGGAAGUAUCAGUAGAAAGCUGCAGAAGCAACAUGGCUACUACUGCAGGUACUGAAUAAUAUGUCUAAUG
Mus pahari (shrew mouse) is the source of this 1547-nucleotide long non-coding RNA. RefSeq lists it as uncharacterized. The transcript is spliced from 9 exons. The record is from RefSeq and is a predicted model, not a curated record. NCBI's taxonomy places the organism in Eukaryota, Metazoa, Chordata, Mammalia, Rodentia, Muridae.